This 466-nucleotide ribosomal RNA is filed under the name uncultured bacterium. RNAcentral's name for it is "bacterial SSU rRNA". It matches the Rfam family "Bacterial small subunit ribosomal RNA", at positions 335 to 792 of the family's 1533-position model. The record is from RNAcentral.
ACUCCUACGGGAGGCAGCAGUGGGGAAUAUUGCACAAUGGGGAAACCCUGAUGCAGCCAUGCCGCGUGUGUGAAGAAGGCCUUCGGUUGUAAAGCACUUUCAGUAGGGAGGAAGGUAGUGUAGUUAACACCUGCAUUAUUUGACGUUACCUACAGAAGAAGCACCGGCUAACUCCGUGCCAGCAGCCGCGGUAAUACGGAGGGGUGCGAGCGUUAAUCGGAAUUACUGGGCGUAAAGCGCAUGCAGGCGGCCUGUUAAGUCAGAUGUGAAAGCCCGGGGGCUUAACCUCGGAAUUGCAUUUGAAACUGGCAGGCUAGAGUCUUGUAGAGGGGGUAGAAGUUUCAGGUGUAGCGGUGAAAUGCGUAGAGAUCUGAAGGAAUACCAGUGGCGAAGGCGGCCCCCUGGACAAAGACUGACGCUCAGAUGCGAAAGCGUGGGGAGCGAAACAGGAUUAGAUACCCUGGUA